UUUACAGUAUAAGUCUUUUUUUACUUAAAAUUUUAAUUUAUAUUUUUAGUAAGAAUACUAAAAUAAAAAAAAGGGACGAUAAGACCCUGAAAGCUUAAAACGAUAAUUAUAAAAAUUUUUAUUUAGAAUUAUAGUGUUGUUAUUAGCUGGGGAAGUUUUUAUAAAAAAACUAUAAUUAAUUAAUACGUUGUUUUUAUGGUCCUUCAUAUAAGGAUAGUUAGAAAAAGUUACUUCAGGGAUAACAGCAUAAUAAUUUUGUAGAGUUCUUAUCGAUAAAAUUGAGUGUGACCUCGA
This 294-nucleotide ribosomal RNA is filed under the name Crangonyx hobbsi. RNAcentral's name for it is "partial large subunit ribosomal RNA". The record is from RNAcentral. Lineage: Eukaryota; Metazoa; Arthropoda; Malacostraca; Amphipoda; Crangonyctidae.